This 467-nucleotide ribosomal RNA is filed under the name uncultured bacterium. Its description in RNAcentral is "partial 16S ribosomal RNA". It matches the Rfam family "Bacterial small subunit ribosomal RNA", at positions 28 to 507 of the family's 1533-position model. The record is from RNAcentral.
GACGAACGCUGGCGGCGUGCUUAACACAUGCAAGUCGAACGGAAAGGCCCUGCUUUUGUGGGGUGCUCGAGUGGCGAACGGGUGAGUAACACGUGAGUAACCUGCCCUUGACUUUGGGAUAACUUCAGGAAACUGGGGCUAAUACCGGAUAGGAGCUCCUGCUGCAUGGUGGGGGUUGGAAAGUUUCGGCGGUUGGGGAUGGACUCGCGGCUUAUCAGCUUGUUGGUGGGGUAGUGGCUUACCAAGGCUUUGACGGGUAGCCGGCCUGAGAGGGUGACCGGCCACAUUGGGACUGAGAUACGGCCCAGACCCUACGGGAGGCAGCAGUGGGGAAUAUUGCACAAUGGGCGGAAGCCUGAUGCAGCAACGCCGCGUGCGGGAUGACGGCCUUCGGGUUGUAAACCGCUUUCGCCUGUGACGAAGCGUGAGUGACGGUAAUGGGUAAAGAAGCACCGGCUAACUACGUG